AUUUAAAUAGCUUAUAUAAGAGUAUAAUAUUGAAGAUAUUAAGGAGAUUAUUAAAAAUCUUUAAAUA
Molecule: transfer RNA, 67 nt
Filed under: Protambulyx eurycles
Lineage: Eukaryota; Metazoa; Arthropoda; Insecta; Lepidoptera; Sphingidae
Description: tRNA-Phe
Source: RNAcentral